Molecule: ribosomal RNA, 459 nt
Filed under: uncultured bacterium
Lineage: Bacteria
Description: partial 16S ribosomal RNA
Rfam family: Bacterial small subunit ribosomal RNA
Source: RNAcentral
CCUACGGGCGGCAGCAGUAGGGAAUAUUGCUCAAUGGGGGAAACCCUGAAGCAGCAACGCCGCGUGGAGGAUGAAGGUUUUCGGAUUGUAAACCUCUUUUGCCGGGGAGCAACGGGGUCCUUGCGAGGGCCCGAUGAGAGUACCCGGAGAAAAAGCAUCGGCUAACUCCGUGCCAGCAGCCGCGGUAAUACGGAGGAUGCGAGCGUUAUCCGGAUUUAUUGGGUUUAAGGGGUGCGUAGGCGGGCUGUUAAGUCAGCGGUCAAAUGUCGGGGCUCAACCCCGGCCUGCCGUUGAAACUGGCGGCCUCGAGUGGGCGAGAAGUAUGCGGAAUGCGUGGUGUAGCGGUGAAAUGCAUAGAUAUCACGCAGAACUCCGAUUGCGAAGGCAGCAUACCGGCGCCCUACUGACGCUGAGGCACGAAAGCGUGGGUAUCGAACAGGAUUAGAUACCCUUGUAGUC